AAACCGGGUCAGCUCGGGUACCCGGGCUGGCUCGCCCCAUAUAGACGAGAGAGUUUGGCAAAGUAUCUUAAUUGAUCAUUUUGAAUUUUCUUUACGAUGCAAUGGAACUAAAAUAGUUGCAUAAACACUUGAAUCAGAGUAACAUAAUAGAGUUCUUACUAAUAACAGAUGCGUGGUUUUAUUGCAUUAACUAUAUUGCUAUUUAUUAUGUUGGUAUCGUUCAUAAAUUAAUGUUAUAGAGUAUUUAUUUCCAUAGUGUACAAAAAAAAACUAUGUAUUGUAUAUUCAAUAUGUUCUGUUUGGAAAUAGAAAAUAAAUGCAAGUAAGCACAUAGGGGUGAGCUGAAUUGCAAACGAGUUGAAGGCUUUCUAAGGGCGCCUCUGGCACUCACACUCAAUGAGUGGAAGUUCAAUUUGAGCUUCUCUCGAGUGUCAUUGCUGUUUUUGAACAGCUGGAGGGUUAGUG
This is a non-coding RNA of Paramuricea clavata, 465 nucleotides long. The record is from the annotation of a GenBank genome assembly. Lineage: Eukaryota; Metazoa; Cnidaria; Anthozoa; Malacalcyonacea; Plexauridae.